AGCAUUCCCUUGCACUCGUCCCAGGUGUCAGAGAGAUGCUGCUGCAGCAGGAGCUGGCGGUGCACAGAAGAUGGUGCAGGAAGAUGUUGGCUCUUUGCAAGGGCCCAGCUGCAUCACCACCAGGUUGCAUUGCCUCCACAGAAACUGCACUGUGCGUGCCGGACGGCUUGGGUGGUUCGGGGAGCAGGCUCCAUAAUUGCAGCGACUGCUGAGAUAACAAAGUCUGCUUUGAGACCACCACUACAGCCCCUGGGAAGCACUGAGCCCCCUCUGCAUCAGGAUGUGCUUUCUGCAGGACUACUGAGUGAGUCAAGAGCUAGAUUUGCCUUGCUCUGAACUGAACAAAUACAGCAAGGCACAGCCUGCUCCAAGCUUCUUUAGUACUGCCUUCACCAGGAAGCAGCAGCUGGGUCCAGCAAGGAUCUUGGAUUAUGGUCUCUAUGGAAAACGGGAGGAACCUCAAACCCUGCUUCAAGAUGGUUACCUGGCUGUUUACCAUCCUGCCAGAAAACAUGACAGCAGUCACCCAAAAGCCUCAGGAUACUGUCUGCUGUUUGUAAAAGUCAAUGCAUGCCUCCUGAGGCAAACAGCAGCUCUUGAAAUUAGAUGCUUGGUUUUACCCAAGUCCAUGAGCAGAGACAGCAAAAUUCACUGGUUUCAGUCUCUGGUGUGAUGGAAGACAGAUUCUAUCAGAAACAUCUCCAUGUCAUCCAGUUGGCCAAGACACCUACAGGUUAGUUUCUAAUUCAAUAAUGCAUGACCUCUUGAUUAGAACAUUUACAUAGUUUGUAACUAAAGAAGAAUCCUAAGGGAUCAGAUCUAAAACUUGCUGAAAUUUAUCUAUGUCUUUAGUUGGUUGCAGCAGACUUGAUGUCUUGAACAACUGUUAACGUGGAAUCCUCUGAAGUGAUGGUGUGAGUGCCUGUGCUUGUAAAAGACAGGUUGGACAAAGGUGUUGGGGUGAUAAAUCCUGAGGAGAAGUGAUGUGCAUUCUUUAGUUAAGUGGAAUUAACGAAGCAAUAGCAAAUUAUCUUACUCCAGGCAACUGCUAUUGUGUAAUCCUGCAAGUGGGUUUAAUUUGUAGCCUGAGACACGCUGCUAAAGGUUCAUCCCAUUAAACCUGGGGACUUAACUGUGGUAUCUAAGGUAGAGUGUCAUCACCCUUAACAGUGGAGAGAAAUAAGCAUGGCCAAGGGGUGAUCCAGAUCUCGCCCAAUGGCAGGGAGAUUGGAACAAGGUGGUCUUUAAGGUCCCCUCCAGCCUAAGCCAUUCUGUGAUUCUGUGAUCUUGGCUGUGUUACUGCCUUGGUGCGUGCUUUUUCUCUCUGGAUGUAGAGAGAGCUGAGGGAAGGGGCUGCUGUUUGGUGGGGACAGUCUGGAUCUACAGCUUGGAGGGAUGGAAACCUGAGAAGGUUCCAUCUUGGAUCUGCAACUUGGAGGGAACAGAACCUGAGAAGUGUUGCAGGCAUCGUUGCUGGCAGGAAUUCUCAGUGAAUUGCUGUGACUGGAAGGGUCAAGUUGCCUUUGGAUGGGUUUGGGGAGUUGUUUUAAGAUGAAAUCUGAUAGAUUUAUGGAAGGGAUUAUAUGACAAAACAGCAAUGCUUCG
This is a long non-coding RNA of Numida meleagris (helmeted guineafowl), 1605 nucleotides long. NCBI's taxonomy places the organism in Eukaryota, Metazoa, Chordata, Aves, Galliformes, Numididae. The record is from Ensembl.